AACGAACGCUAGCGGCGCGUUUUAAGCAUGCAAGUCGAACGGGGAUAUUAGGAGCAAUUCUGGUAUUCCAGUGGCAAACGGGUGAGUAACACGUGGAUAAUCUGCCCUCAAGACCUGGAUAGCCCGCAGAAAUGCGGAUUAAUACGGGAUGUGGUGCCUGAUCAUGAGGAUUGGGCCAUUAAAGGUGGGGACCGCAAGGCCUGCCGCUUGGGGAGGAGUCCGCGGCCCAUUAGCUAGUUGGUGGGGUAAAGGCCUACCAAGGCGACGAUGGGUAGCCGGCCUGAGAGGGUGACCGGCCACAUUGGGACUGAGACACGGCCCAGACUCCUACGGGAGGCAGCAGCUAAGAAUCUUCCGCAAUGGGCGAAAGCCUGACGGAGCGACGCCGCGUGGAUGAUGAAGGUCUUCGGAUUGUAAAGUCAUUUCGGGAGGAAGAUAAGCGUACUCUAACAUAGUGCGUGAUGACGACCCUUCAGAGAAGCUCCGGCUAACUACGUGCC
RNAcentral lists this ribosomal RNA (500 nucleotides) under uncultured bacterium. RNAcentral's name for it is "bacterial SSU rRNA". It matches the Rfam family "Bacterial small subunit ribosomal RNA", at positions 29 to 509 of the family's 1533-position model. The record is from RNAcentral.